Molecule: ribosomal RNA, 441 nt
Filed under: uncultured bacterium
Lineage: Bacteria
Description: partial 16S ribosomal RNA
Rfam family: Bacterial small subunit ribosomal RNA
Source: RNAcentral
CCUACGGGGGGCAGCAGUGGGGGAUAUUGCACAAUGGGGGGAACCCUGAUGCAGCGACGCCGCGUGGGUGAAGGAGUGCUUCGGCAUGUAAAGCCCUAUCGGCAGGGAAGAAGCAAGACGGUACCUGACUAAGAAGCCCCGGCUAACUACGUGCCAGCAGCCGCGGUAAUACGUAGGGGGCGAGCGUUAUCCGGAUGCACUGGGGGUAAAGGGAGCGUAGACGGCCAUGCAAGCCAGGGGUGAAAGCCCGGGGCCCAACCCCGGGACUGCCCUUGGAACUGUGCGGCUAGAGUGCGGGAGGGGCAGGCGGAAUUCCUGGUGUAGCGGUGAAAUGCGUAGAUAUCAGGAGGAACACCGGCGGCGAAGGCGGCCUGCUGGACUGCGACUGACGUUGAGGCUCGAAAGCGUGGGGAGCGAACAGGAUUAGAUACCCUUGUAGUC